UUUCUUUCUCCCUUUCUCCCUUUCUUUCUUUCAGUCAGAGAAAUCACCCCAACCCAACCACAAAACCCUAGCACUGUAAGCCUACACCACCGCCACAAGGAGUGGCAUACUGCCGCCGUCCGUCGCACUCAAAGUUCGCCAUCCGUCAUCUAGCUUCCCUCGUGCUCCAAAUCUUCAACCCCUGUUCGCUGUCACCGAUCGCGGUUGCUUCAUCGAGCUCGGCGUCCGUCGUCUUUGUCUGCUCAGCCGCGCUUCCGUCGCCGUUUGUUUGCCGUUCACGUUCGCGUCUUCGUUCGCAUUCUUCGCCAUUCGCGUUCGCUCGGCGUUCACCGUUCGCGUUCACUCGCUGUUCACCGUUCGAGUUCGCGUUCGUCUGGAAGCCACGUUGCUCUGCUUCAAACUCUGCCACCAACCCGCGCGCUCCACUCAGCCGUCGAACUGCUCUCUUUUGUCCCCACCGUUUAGUGUGAUUAUUGGUUAAUGUUUUGGUUUAGUGUUCUCUCUUUUCCAGAUUUCCCUUCUCCCUGUAUUUCUGCAUGUUGCUGAAAUCUGAAUUGGUAAUCAAUAAAUUUGCCUUUUUGCUGUAACUCGGGACUUUACUAGGAUUUGUUAAGUUUGUUGCUGUAACUUGCAUUUGUUGCUGAAUUUGUUGCUUCCCAGUCACAGAAUCAGAACAGAAUGCUCAGUCAGUGUUUGAUUGAUUGGCUUUGCUCACCGAUUGUAUUUGAUGAUAAAUUUUAAAUUGAUAACUUUUAAAUUUUAAAUUUGCACUGCCCAUGUUAUUGAUUCACUGUUCGUUCAGUGCUUUUUUGUUGUUGUUAAUCAUUGUGAUGAGCUUUGUUAAAAUUUGCACUGCCUAUAUUACUGAGUGUUCUUUCAGUGCUUUUUGUUGUUAAUCAUUGUGGUGAACUUUGUUAAAAUUUGCACGGCCUAUGUUACUGAUUCAUGGAUGCAUCCCUCUCGUCAUUAUCAUUGGCAUGAACUCCGAACCAAAGCCCCAACUCUCUGGAUAAAAUUGUAAUGAAAGCUUAUGGGGACUUUUUCUUCUACUUAAGGUAUGAAUUAGAAUGAUGAGGCCAAGUUGUGAAUACACAAGUGUCAACGGACUAUAAUAUAUAUUGAAUUUGUGACAUUAGAAGGGUGUAAUAAUAACAAUAAUGGAGUCAUGUUACUUGAAUAUUGAGGUUUAACAUUUAAACUCUCAGCUUCUUAGCCCUGUUUGAUUCUUCAUCUCAGGCAAUUGAAUCGAAUCAACCAGGCCUUCUUUUUCUUUUUCUUUUAGUUGAUUCUUAAUUUUUCUAAUAUAUGUAACUUUCUGAAUCAAGUGGAUCAGAUUAUGUAGUUUUCUUGAUUUGGGAUAUUUUCGAAGACGCAUUAGAAGAGCUAUUUUAUUAUUAUGUUUGCUAAUAAUAAUAUUCACAUGUUCUGUAUGCUUGUGAUUGUUUCGGUGUUUACAUUUUCUUUCCAAGUCACUUGCUGUGGUUGUUCUCUGAGUUAAGGCUUUGUAUGUGUGUGUGUGAGAAUGUGAUAAUGUUGAAUGCUGUUGCAUCUAAUAGGAGUUCUUGGAGUACCCUCAUCUUUGGUCCUUUAUAAUUUAUUUAUUAUUUUAUUCUAAAACGGUUUUUUCGGUUGAAUUACCGGUUGGACCGGUUAGAUCAAUAAACCAGUGAACUAGUGACUAAAGCGGUUUGAUGACCGGUCCGGUUUUCAGAACCUUGG
Arachis ipaensis is the source of this 1719-nucleotide long non-coding RNA. RefSeq lists it as uncharacterized. The record is from RefSeq and is a predicted model, not a curated record. Lineage: Eukaryota; Viridiplantae; Streptophyta; Magnoliopsida; Fabales; Fabaceae.